Lepisosteus oculatus (spotted gar) is the source of this 119-nucleotide ribosomal RNA. The record is from Ensembl. Lineage: Eukaryota; Metazoa; Chordata; Actinopteri; Semionotiformes; Lepisosteidae.
AACAGCAGCCAUAUCACCCUGCAACUCACAACUGGUAACCCACUGAAGCUAAGCAGGUGUGAGCCUGGUCAGUACCUGGAUGGGAGACCUCCUGGGAAAAACUAAGGUUGCUGCUGGAA